This 1577-nucleotide long non-coding RNA is filed under the name Canis lupus familiaris (dog). RNAcentral describes it as "lncRNA (ENSCAFG00030013580.1)". Lineage: Eukaryota; Metazoa; Chordata; Mammalia; Carnivora; Canidae. The record is from RNAcentral.
AAUCAGAUGCACUCAUGUGUGAUUUAGAAGGCGAGCAGGCCUUUGGGAUUUUCUGCUGGUAAGGAUGGCUUUGGAGAUGCUGGGUCUCCGCGGGCUUGCUUCUGGCCCUGGGCCUCAGGCUCCAGGCUCCAGCCUCAGGGCCUCGACCAGUAGCUCUGCAGCUGAAGCGGUUUCCAAUCCCUGGGUCACAGCUGAAAGGUCAUGUUCUUGAACUAGCAGUUCCAGCGGUGGUUGUGAUCCCCUAAUGUCAGACGGUAGCACAGCUGGGGCCAGGUUCCGCCGUGUUUUUCUGAGCUCAUCCUGGAGGCUCAGCCCAGACCCACUCCACCAGCCCACGCAAAGAUUUUGUAGCACCCAAGGCCCUGUAUUUUUUUUUAAGAUUUUAUUUAUUUAUUCAUGAGAGACAGAGAGAGGCAGAGGGAGAAGCAGGCUCCGUGCAGGGAGCCCGACUCAGGACUCGAUCCCGGGUCUCCAGGAUCAGGCCCUGGGCUGAAGGCGGCGCUAAACCCAUGAGCCACCCGGGCUGCCCCCAAGUCCCUGUAUUAAAUCUCCCCUCCUGCUUAAAAUACCUACCUAGAGUGACUUCUGUUCCCUCUAACAGGAGACACAAGGCAGAGAACAAAAGAAUGAAUGAAAUGCAGAUGAAGUGCCUGGCAUGGGUGUUGCAGCCUUGCUGCAGACAGAGAAGAGAAGCAGAGAGGUCUCCAAUCCCAGGUGUCAGAGACCAAUGAGAUUCCAUGUGUCCUAGGAAGCAAAUAAAGCAGUGCGGUGCCAUGGGGAGAGCAUGGAUCCUGGGGAUGCCAGGUCAGACAGGUGAGACUCCAGACCUCGUGUGGCUUAUACUCUGGCAAGGGACACAGAUAAACAAGUGGAUAAAAUAAUUUCCAAAAGUGAUAAGUGCUGCCAAAAGGAUGGUAGCAUUGGAAUAAAAAGUGACAGGUUGGCCCAGAGAGGCCUCUCAGAGGAGGUGACAAUUGGAUUGUUAAUGGAAGGAUGAGGAUGCAGCCAUGGGAGGAUCUGAAGGAAAGAAGCAAAGUUUCUUUGCUUUCAUCCAAACCAGUGCAAAGUUCUCAGGGCAGGAAAGGACUUGACAUGUCCAGGGAGCACACAGAUGCAGGAUGGCUAUGAUAGAUAAGCAAGAGAAGAAGGGAGGAGACAGGGUCCCAGAGGAAGGCUGAAGAGGACAUGAAAACUCUCAAUCAACCAGAGCCUUUGAUUAACCAGAGCGUCCUUCCCUCCAUGCUCAAGCAUUAAUGCCAUUCAUUACUUUGGUAAAUGAGUGAGUAGUGUGUUAAAACUCAGACAUCCUAAGUUCUGGCUCCCUAGGAAAGAUGUGUAGCUGGGGAAGGGAGCUGAAUCAAAUAAAGACAGGGAUUACUGGCUACCAAACACCAGACAGAAGGGGCUAAACAUCCUUCUCAAUGGAAGGAAGUGAAGGGUAAGGAUGGGGGUGGAGGGAGAAAAUUUCCAGAGGAUUCCACGUCAGAUUCCAAAUGAAGCAGGACUUUUCUGGUGGCAGGUGACAGUGACCUAACCUGAACUGGUCUAAAAUGAGCAUUAUUGACAUAAGUAGCUGA